Molecule: long non-coding RNA, 4821 nt
Organism: Podarcis muralis (Common wall lizard)
Lineage: Eukaryota; Metazoa; Chordata; Lepidosauria; Squamata; Lacertidae
Source: Ensembl
AUGCGAGGGGGAGAAAUGUCUGGCAGCAGAGCAAGGAAGGUCCAGCCGUUCACUAUUACCACCAAGCUUUCCCUACCCAAGUGCUCCCUGGACUUUCCAGGAGACAGCUGUCCUGACAUAGCUGCUCUGGAUAAUCAUGCCCUGCACCAAAACCUCAAUGAGCGUGUGUCUCUGUAUCUGGCUCAGGCUUCUCCCGUGUCCUCUGAGGGUAGGUUUGACAGCACCAGCCCCAUUGAGGAGGUGGCCACCAAUGAAGAUCGCAUCAACCGCAACUCCCUGUCCCGCUCCAUCAAGAAAAUCACCUUGUCCAACUGGCACGGAGAACCUAAUCCAGGGGAGGAAACAUCAACUCAUACCCGUUGCGAGAGGAACUGCAACAACAACAACUGCAGAACAGGGAAAGCACAGUUUAAGGUCUUUCUCAGAAAAGAGGUGGAAAUAGAAGAAGAAAAGCAAGACUCUAGGAGGCCCCAGGCUUGUGGCCAUUCUUCAUUGGGCAGAGUUGCUCCUCUUCACAUGAUGUCAAGCUGUGCUGUUGCAGGUCCCUGGAAGGAGAAUGUCAAGAACAUACAGGCAGGCAAAGUAGCAGGGCUGAAGCCUUGCCUCCAGAGCAGCCCAGGGCUGGCCGACCUUUCCAAAUGGAGCCCUCACAUAGCUCAGUUCAACUGUGACAUGAUGCAGGCUGAGAAAUGGGUGCGAGCAAAACUCCGAGACCUGAAGGAUGGUUGCAGUAUUCAGGAAUGGGAGCGGGCAGCACAGAUGUUACAAAGAGACAUGAAAGACUUCGAGAAUACCAUUAUCAAACUGAACCAGAUGGGUGACCAGCUUACUGUCCAGUCAAACUCCAGUGCCGAGAUAGCGAGGCGACUACAAACCCUGUGCGAACAGUGGCAACUGCUGAAGCAGAUGGCAGCAAAUCAGAGCAAAGCAGUGAGCGGACUCAGAAACUUACAAGAGUUCAACCAGAAAGCUGAGCAACUAGAAGCUUGGAUCAGGCAGAAGGAAGAGAAACCUUUGCUAACUGCCCUGCUACAAGAGAAUGCAGACAAGAUUCAGCUUACCCGACGCAUCCUUGACUUGAAACAGGAGGAGCAGCAGUUCCAGGCCCUGCAUGAGGAAAUGAACAGCCUGGCUCACAAACUUGAGAAGCAGGGGAAGAGCGAGAGCAGGAGCAUUAUGGCACGGCGCAAGCAUCUCAAUAAAAUGUGGCUGCGGCUCCAGGGGACACUGAAAGAACACCAUGAGACCCUGCAGCUGGCUCUGGAAGCUGCUGCCUUCGUCCAGCAGGCAGAAGUGCUCCUUGGGGCCAUCCAUGCAAAGCGGAGGAAUCUCUGUGGAGUGGGGAAACAGAGGGAACCUGAAACCAGCCCAGACCUGGAUGUCAGGGAUAUAGCUAGUCAGGUCAUGAUGCUGGAUGUGACCGUGUCCCAGUUGACAAGCCUCCAUCCCAGCCUAGUAGCACGAGUCUCUCUCAAGCAUCAAGAUGUGAAGGAGAGCUGGGCCCAGCUCCAGCAGUUAUUGAGGAGAUCAAUUGAUUCCCCGAAUCGUGAGCAAGUGAAGAUCAUGUCCAACAGUGCAGGGAGAGAGGCUGGAGGGAAACCUGUAUGGGAGAUAUGGAAGGACAUCCAAGGAAGCCAAGACUCACCAGGCAAGGAGGCCAUCGCCAGUGACAGCAGGAGGAGGAGGAAGAAGCUUCUCUGGCAUUCAAAUGCCUUGAAGGACCUGCCCCAGCAGGAGGCACACCUUCAGGACUUCUGCCAGGUCGCUGAUGGGGAGCUACACAAGUGGAGUCCUCAGAUGGAAGAUGCCCUUGAGGACCUGGAGGAUCUCUGGGAGGAACUGAGAAGGCGGCACCAAGAGAAUGGCAUGGCCCUGAGGGAGAUUGAUACAGCUCUGCGGUUGGUUGGGGAGGUAGAAGAGGCUGAGUGCUGGCUAGAAACUGUGCUAGGCUUGCUCUCUGAGCCAGAAGCAACAGCAGCAAAGAACCUUGAUGACCUCCAUGGGGACCUAGAGAAGGUUGGCACCCUGGAGAACCAAGUGGAGGUGUGGCAUAUUAAGCUUCAAGCCCUGCAGGAGGAAAUGAAAAUGGACUCCUCCUCGGAACACACAGCAGCUGCAAUGAUUCAUAGAAAGAUGGAACGAGUGAAGGAAAAGUUCGCCUGUGUGCAGGAGGCUCUCCAGCGCCGAACAUCAGACUUGAAAGAUGCCCUGGUUUUAACCGAGUUCUUGCAGAAUGUGCAUAUGGAAGAAAUGCUGAGUCACAGGAACCAAGUACAGGCAGUGCCGAACCAGCUAGGCUCCCAAGAGCCUCUGCAGCUUCUCAUAGCUCAGGGUGCUCAACAGCUGAGCAAUGAGGACAUGAACAGGUCACUGGAGGAACUGCAAGAAGCAGUGGACAUGCUGAACAGUGUUGUGAAGGAGCGCGAGCGGGCCAUGGAGGCAGUGACCAAGACAGAGAAUCUGAAGUGCUUUGUGCAGGCCUUGUCAAGUGGGGAGGAAACUAAGCUGGCCUGGGUCACCUCACGGAUCAAGACAAUGAGGAACAGAGCAGAAACACUGGCUCAGGACAUAAUGCAGGCAGAGAGAAGCUUUGCCACAGUGAAGAGUGAGGCAGAUCUUCUGGAGCUGCAGUGGCUCACGGAAAGGCAGAAAGAGAUAGAGAGUGAAAUGUCUAGCCUGGAAGGGGACAUGGAGAAACUACAGAGAGCCUUCAUGGAGCUGGAAGAUUGCUGUCUGAUUGAAAUGCCAAAUGAGUCCAGAAGAAUCAGUGAAACAUUGGAGGCUUGGAAAGAUCUGCAAAAGCUGGUGUCGGGAAAUGCAGUUCAUGGACAGCAAGCCGCUCAUUUGCGACAAUUCUUCAGAGCUUAUUUAGCCAUUAUCUCCUGGACAGAGGAUACUCGGGCACAGAUCUUCUCUGAGACUAUGAGUACCCACGGUCUCUCAGAAGCUCAGUGGGAAGACCUGGAAAGGAACAUGGAGACUAAGUUCAAGGAGUUUGAGAAGCUGGCAGCAGUUGGAUGGAAACUGGUAGCUGAGGAGCACAGCUUGAGUGAGACAAUAAAGGAGCGAAUGGAGGAGCUGCAAAGCAUGCUGGGAUGGGUGAUGGUGCGCUGGAGAGCACAGAGUUCCCAGAAGGACCCUGGCAGUAAGAGUGAUGGCAGGGAGACUCAGAAUGGCACGCUGAACAUGACCGAGCACUGCCAAAUUAAAGUAGUUCCUGAAUCAGGUGUGGGUGAAGCAAAUGGUAUCCUAAACUCCAGUGUUUCUGAGAGGCCUCCACUCACCCUCAGCUCCCUCCAAAAUGGUUCAGCAGCACAGCAAGAGAGCAAAUCGGUCUCCACUGCAGUGCUGUCUACCCUGGAUGUUCUUCCAGGGCACAGGCAGAGUCUGGAAGAAUUGGAAAACCACUUGCCCUUUGAGAUGGACGUCCCGAAGGAGACUCUGAUCCUGGAACCCUUGGAGACCCCUGUGCUGCUGGUGCCCCAGCCAGGCCCUGGCAGUCUGGGUGGCACAGUGAACUUGAUACUGAGCCUUGGGAAGAAAGCAGGGAGAGAGGCCACAGGAAGCCAGGUUGGAGCAGCAACAUCAAUGGGACCGGAAACCUUGCACAAGGUGAGCACCUAUUUGCACGUGAAGGAGAAAGAGGGAGACAGAGAUGCAGGCAUGGUUUGUGGAAGCUCUACUAUGCUGCGGCCUGCUAAGCAAACGCCUCCCGGAGCUCACUCUUCCCCAUUUCCCAGUCCUGGGUGGGGCACCUCAGCCUUCCACACCUUGCCCAAGAUCAGCUCCAGCUGCUUCUUACGGAGCCUGAAGAGAAAAGGCAGAGUGGAGGCAGAAGAUGCCCAGCUCCUCACCUUGCAAGGGAUCAUGGGAACCGAACCAAGCGACCUGCAGGCAAGGCAAGGGGAGAGGAGCAGCACUAGUAGCACCUGGCCCCCAAAGGGUAACAGGAGGGCACAGGCCUUGCAGGCAGAGUGCCCAGCACCCUGCAGAGAGUUGACAGACUAUGUGAAGAACCCAUUGGAACGGGCUAUUGACGCUGAAUGUGACUCGGUUAGGGAAGUAUCUGGAUGUCACGUGUUCCCAAGAGAGAGCAGAGGUCUCAAAAGCCCCCCGUCACUGGCAGAGCGGAUGAGCCACACAUGCCAGCAUCUUUCUCUCGGUUCUGUCCUGAGCCUGGAGCUCCCCAAGGACCCCACAGUCCUAAGGAAUAUCCAUGAUACCAUCAGAGUAGCAAAAGAGGGAGCAGCAGGAAGGAAGGGAAUAAGCCAGGCCUGCCAGGGAGCUCGGAGCAGCCCAGCUGGGGCAAAAGUGCAGGAGGUUGGUAGUAGCCUGCAAAAGAGGGUGCUCGGAGGGCAGCCAGUCGUGCACCAGAGGCCCCUCAGGCCUGAAGAUGCUCGUGACAAGCUUCCCCAGGGUAAGGGAGGCACAUGGUUUGAAGAGGUGAGCAUCAACCCAAGCUACAGCAGGCAGAAGGCCUGCUUCGUUGCUCUUUCUGGAGAAGACAGGCAGAGUCCAAAUAGCCAGAGCAGUCCUAAUGAUGACUUCCUGGAUUUCAAGCAGAACCGGCUAUCCCGCAUUAGUGUCCUGCAUGAGCAGAUAGGUAUAGAGUGGGACAGACUAGCUACCUCACUGGGUACAACUGGCAGCUCCAAGGAGGUGCAGGUAAAGGGUCCGGCUGACCACAAAGUCAGAGAAGCAUCCCGGGUGAAACUGAAGCCCUCACCUGCUAAGCACACAGGCAGCUCCGAUGCAGUUUCCAGUAUAGCCAAAGCUAAGAACCCUGCUGUGAAUGGGGCAGAAAAAAGGGAAGCUGUGUGA